Molecule: ribosomal RNA, 1384 nt
Filed under: Xiphinema oleae
Lineage: Eukaryota; Metazoa; Nematoda; Enoplea; Dorylaimida; Longidoridae
Description: SSU rRNA
Rfam family: Eukaryotic small subunit ribosomal RNA
Source: RNAcentral
UUACACAGCCAUCGUUUACUAGAAAAUAGUUGUCCUACUUGGAUAACUGUGGCAAUUCUAGAGCUAAUACAUGCGAAAAAACUCAGACCGCAAGGAAUGAGUGCAUUUAUUAGAAUAAAAACCAAUCGGGUGUAAAAAGCCCGUCAUUUGGUGAAUCUGAAUAACUUUGCCGAUCGCACGGUCCUAGUACCGGCGAUGUAUCUUUCAAGUGUCUGCCUUAUCAACUUUCGAUGGUAGGUUAUACGCCUACCAUGGUAGUAACGGGUAACGGAGAAUAAGGGUUCGACUCCGGAGAGGGAGCCUGAGAAACGGCUACCACAUCCAAGGAAGGCAGCAGGCGCGCAAAUUACCCACUUCCAGAACGGAGAGGUAGUGACGAAAAAUAACGAGACAGUCCUCUUCGAGGUCUGUCAUCGGAAUGGGUACAAUUUAAAUCCUUUAACGAGGAUCUAUUGGAGGGCAAGUCUGGUGCCAGCAGCCGCGGUAAUUCCAGCUCCAAUAGCGUAUAUUAAAGUUGUUGCGGUUAAAACGCUCGUAGUUGGAUCUGCGGUUUUCGGAGAACGGUCCCCCGAAAGGGCGGUCACUGUUACUCCAAGCCUAUAUAUUCAGUCCGUUCUACGGUGCUCUUAACCGAGUGCCUAGAUCGACUGGAACGUUUACUUUGAAAAAAUUAGAGUGCUCAAAGCAGGCGGAAUAGCCUGAAUAAAGGUGCAUGGAAUAAUGGAAUAGGACCUCGGUUCUAUUUUGUUGGUUUUCGGAAUCUGAGGUAAUGAUUAAGAGGAACAGACGGGGGCAUUCGUAUUCCGGCGCUAGAGGUGAAAUUCUUGGACCGCCGGAAGACGGACGACUGCGAAAGCAUUUGCCAAGAAUGUUUUCAUUAAUCAAGAACGAAAGUUAGAGGUUCGAAGGCGAUCAGAUACCGCCCUAGUUCUAACCGUAAACGAUGACAACCAGCGAUUAGUCGGCGUUAAUAUAAGACCCGACUAGCAGCUUCCGGGAAACCAAAGUUUUUCGUUUCCGGGGGAAGUAUGGUUGCAAAGCUGAAACUUAAAGGAAUUGACGGAAGGGCACCACCAGGAGUGGAGCCUGCGGCUUAAUUUGACUCAACACGGGAAAUCUCACCCGGCCCGGACACCGUAAGGAUUGACAGACUGAGAGCUCUUUCUUAAUUCGGUGGGUGGUGGUGCAUGGCCGUUCUUAGUUGGUGGAGCGAUUUGUCUGGUUAAUUCCGAUAACGAACGAGACUCUGGCCUAUUAAAUAGUCGGUAUAUCUAGAAAAAGUAUACCGCACUUCUUAGAGGGACAACCGGCGUCUAGCCGCGUGAAAUAGAGCAAUAACAGGUCUGUGAUGUCCUUAGAUGUCCGGGGCUGCACGCGCGCUACA